RNAcentral lists this ribosomal RNA (320 nucleotides) under uncultured bacterium. RNAcentral's name for it is "bacterial SSU rRNA". It matches the Rfam family "Bacterial small subunit ribosomal RNA", at positions 1058 to 1377 of the family's 1533-position model. The record is from RNAcentral.
GCUCGUGUCGUGAGAUGUUGGGUUAAGUCCCGCAACGAGCGCAACCCUUGUCGUUAGUUACUACCAUUAAGUUGAGGACUCUAGCGAGACUGCCUGGGUUAACCAGGAGGAAGGUGGGGAUGACGUCAAAUCAUCAUGCCCCUUAUGUGUAGGGCUACACACGUGCUACAAUGGCUGGUACAGAGAGAUGCAAUACCGCGAGGUGGAGCCAAGGGACUUAAAAACCAGUCUCAGUUCGGAUUGUAGGCUGAAACUCGCCUACAUGAAGCUGGAGUUACUAGUAAUCGCGAAUCAGAAUGUCGCGGUGAAUACGUUCCCGG